RNAcentral lists this long non-coding RNA (395 nucleotides) under Elaeis guineensis (African oil palm). Its description in RNAcentral is "long non-coding RNA (EGUI_LNC025446)". Lineage: Eukaryota; Viridiplantae; Streptophyta; Magnoliopsida; Arecales; Arecaceae. The record is from RNAcentral.
GUCCAGGCUGAGGAACUAGAAUUUAUGAGUGGGUGCUUGUCGCUUGCUUGUUAAAGUAGGUCCGUGAUAUGAAGUAGGUCGCCCACAUCUGCCCUUUAGUCUAGUGAGCACCACCUCCAAUAGCUCGAUUGUGACUAGCUCGACGGUGAUGAAGAUCUUCGGACUGAGGCCGAGGUACAAGUCUACAAUAGAUGCCCCCACUCUCGAGAUCAAGCUACUGAUAGAUCGACCGACGAGAGUAUCUGAUUUGAGGUCGAAGCUGAGAUAAUCGAAUUGUUCAUUAGGACAUGCGUCAAGAAUUAAACGACUAAGGUGAACCAUCUUUAAAUCUAGAACAUAGGUUCCUCUAAUCCGUGGGAGCCACGUCCAUCCAAACCAGGUGAUACUUGUCGAAC